This 253-nucleotide ribosomal RNA is filed under the name uncultured bacterium. RNAcentral's name for it is "partial 16S ribosomal RNA". It matches the Rfam family "Bacterial small subunit ribosomal RNA", at positions 524 to 776 of the family's 1533-position model. The record is from RNAcentral.
UACGUAGGUGGCAAGCGUUGUCCGGAUUUAUUGGGUUUAAAGGGUGCGUAGGUGGUCUAUUAAGUCAGUGCUGAAAUAUCCCGGCUUAACCGGGAGGGUGACAUUGAUACUGAUGGACUUGAGUAAAGUUGAGGUGGGCGGAAUUGACGGUGUAGCGGUGAAAUGCUUAGAUAUCGUCAAGAACACCUAUUGCGAAGGCAGCUCACUAAGCUUUAACUGACACUGAGGCACGAAAGUGUGGGGAUCAAACAGG